AAGCUAAAUAUGGCCAUGUGACUGAGCUCUGGCAAUAGGACACAAUCAGAAGUGGUGUGAGCCACCAUGCCAUGAGGAAGCACAAGCAACCCGUGGAAAAGCCCAUGUGGAGGAGAACCAAGACCCCCAGCCAAAUACCCUGCUGAGCUCCCAGCUGACAGACCGCAUCAACUUGCCAGCCACAUGAGUGAGCUGUCCUGGACGCGAGUUCUGCAACCUCUGGGCAAGCCAC
This 232-nucleotide long non-coding RNA is filed under the name Homo sapiens (human). RNAcentral's name for it is "non-protein coding lnc-SYNC-1:1". The record is from RNAcentral. Lineage: Eukaryota; Metazoa; Chordata; Mammalia; Primates; Hominidae.